AUUGAACGCUGGCGGCAGGCCUAACACAUGCAAGUCGAGCGGACGAAGGGAGCUCGCUCCUGGAUUCAGCGGCGGACGGGUGAGUAAUGCCUAGGAAUCUGCCUGGUAGUGGGGGAUAACGUCCGGAAACGGGCGCUAAUACCGCAUACGUCCUGAGGGAGAAAGUGGGGGAUCUUCGGACCUCACGCUAUCAGAUGAGCCUAGGUCGUAUUAGCUAGUUGGUGGGGUAAAGGCCUACCAAGGCGACGAUCCGUAGCUGGUCUGAGAGGAUGAUCAGUCACACUGGAACUGAGACACGGUCCAGACUCCUACGGGAGGCAGCAGUAGGGAAUAUUGGACAAUGGGCGAAAGCCUGAUCCAGCCAUGCCGCGUGUGUGAAGAAGGUCUUCGGAUUGUAAAGCACUUUAAGUUGGGAAGAAGAACAGUAAGUUAAUACCUUGCUGUUUUGACGUUACCAACAGAAUAAGCACCGGCUAACUUCGUG
RNAcentral lists this ribosomal RNA (484 nucleotides) under uncultured bacterium. RNAcentral describes it as "partial 16S ribosomal RNA". It matches the Rfam family "Bacterial small subunit ribosomal RNA", at positions 30 to 507 of the family's 1533-position model. The record is from RNAcentral.